GCCGGGCUAGCUCAAUCGGUAGAGCGUGAGACUCUUAAUUUCAAGGCUGCGGGUUCGACCCCCGCGUUCGGCU
RNAcentral lists this transfer RNA (73 nucleotides) under Aspergillus fumigatus. RNAcentral describes it as "partial tRNA-Lys". It matches the Rfam family "tRNA". Rfam says of the family: Transfer RNA (tRNA) molecules are approximately 80 nucleotides in length. The record is from RNAcentral. Lineage: Eukaryota; Fungi; Ascomycota; Eurotiomycetes; Eurotiales; Aspergillaceae.